Phalaenopsis equestris is the source of this 1894-nucleotide RNA transcript. RefSeq lists it as uncharacterized. Lineage: Eukaryota; Viridiplantae; Streptophyta; Magnoliopsida; Asparagales; Orchidaceae. The record is from RefSeq and is a predicted model, not a curated record. The transcript has 6 exons.
UAAAUAAGGAAUCCAUUCUGUUAUCGCUUUCCUACUGCACCUCUUCCAAAAUGAGCAGGGCUGCUGCUGAGCAGAUAUCCCUAUUCCGCUCCCAGAUUGAAGACGGGAGUUUCAGCGAUGUUACUCUUCUGAUCCUUGAAUCGGUUCUCGUCGCCAAGAACAUGCGAGCUCUGCUGGAGAUCAGGUCGAGUCUCCAAAAGCUUCUUCGAUCGAAGGCCAAGCUUGUAAUGGAUAGAAUCGCUGCAAAGUCUGCUGAUGAGAAACUCAGAGUUGCCGAGUUCUUCGUCAAAGCGUUCGCGCUAGUAGGAGACGUGGAAAGUUGCUUGGCUCUGAGGUAUGAGGCGUUGGUUCUAAGGGAGACCAAGUAUUACAAUUAUAAUGGCUUUCGAGUUUCAUAUCAGGAAUGGUAUACCUUUGCAAAGGAUUCAUUUUAUAAUGGAUAUUAUGCAAUAGCUGUUAAGGGAUUUGACAGCGCACUUUCUUGCUUUCAGUCUGAAUGGAAGGCAAAUGAAAAUAAUGUUGAUUUCCUUCUGAAAGAUAAUAUUGUCGAUAAAAUUAGAAAACUCAGAGAUGAAGCUUCUUCAAUGAUUUCAUCAAGUUCUGUUCAGGCACUUACCUCCAAAUACUUGAAAAGAAAGGCCACUGAAGAUGACCAAAGGUGCACUUUAUUUUCCACCAACUCCCAGCAAGCUGCAAGCUCAAUGUUCAGACUUGGGAUCAAUAAGAGAAAUGCACAUAAACUUUUCCAGAGCCAACGACAGAAACAACUGAUGUCAGGGCCAUAGCAUAUUUCUUUUGACGUUCAUUCUUUCUGACGUUUAUGGGGAAAUGGUUCUACUGCUCUUUUUUUGAAGGAUUACCACGAUUUGUCAGAUCCAGAUUUAUGGUUACCACUUUUUAUUUUUUACUUGAAGGAGGAUCAUAUUUCUGUUGAUAUAAGACAGCUGCACUCUGAGAUGGCUUUUACAUUCAAUUUAAUUCAAAUAUAGCUUUCAGUGAAGGUAAUUUAGCUAUAUGAACCAGUGAGCUACACAGGCUGCUAAAAGCCCGCUUUUCCAGUCUACCCAUCUUCCCCUUUACCUAAGCCUCCUUGCAUUUUGCCAUACGCCUUAAUUAACAUAGGAUUAUGCGAUUCCAUAGCUAACCGUCGGGAUGACUUCUUCUGGGCAAGGUUCUCCCUUUUAUAUGCAUCUAUACUUUGUUUUGUAGGGUGUUAACCAUUCGAAUUCAAGGCUAGGAACUUUAGAACGGAGGGGGUCAUGGUCUGACUAAUUUGAGGAGAGGUGAGGUGAAGCAAGGAUACACAAGAGUAAAGGAGAGAUAAAUUGAGUCAUGGGUGGAACUUUUUUUUAUUGGUUAUGUUUAAACAAGAUUUAGAAGGAGCAGUUUGACAACGGAAGAAUGGUCCAUUUUUCAUAAAUUAUAUGAUAUGAUACUUAUAGGUAUUUUUCAAGUUGGUCUCUUUUGCACGGGAGGACUCUCUCCUGUCCAUUCUUUGGGUUAUACUCAUGUCGAUUAUUACACGUGAAGAGAACGGUGCGGUAAAUCCCUCAUUUUAGAGGAGAUAUAAUUUGAUGGAUCCUGUAUUAAUUUUUUUUUAAGGUAUCAUGCACUUAUUUUAUCUUCUCUACCAUCUUGUGUUGUGUGUGGAGCCCGAUUAAGAAAAACGAAAAAAAAAAAAACUGUUUCUGCCUAAAUGACUCGUUCCGCCUUUCCGCCUUUGCUUCUUCCCAUUUUUUUCGCGAAUCAGUUUCCCUAUCUCUCGUCGUCUCCGCCUCCUGCAGUUCGCGCUUGUCUCCGCCUCUCUUGCUUGCGAAAUAGAAGUUCAACGAUUCUUCUCUCUCGCUCGCUGUAGUUCACUCCUCCCGUCAUGUUCGUGAAACGGGAAAGGAGA